Molecule: ribosomal RNA, 273 nt
Filed under: uncultured bacterium
Lineage: Bacteria
Description: partial 16S ribosomal RNA
Rfam family: Bacterial small subunit ribosomal RNA
Source: RNAcentral
GACAGAGGGUGCAAACGUUGUUCGGAAUUACUGGGCGUAAAGCGCGUGUAGGCGGCAAGGCAAGUCGGAUGUGAAAGCCCGCGGCUCAACCGUGGAAGUGCACUCGAAACUGCCUAGCUAGAGUCCCGGAGAGGAAGGUGGAAUGCUUGGUGUAGAGGUGAAAUUCGUAGAUAUCAAGCAGAACACCUGUGGCGAAGGCGGCCUUCUGGACGGUGACUGACGCUGAGACGCGAAAGCGUGGGGAGCAAACAGGAUUAGAAACCCCCGUAGUCC